Molecule: transfer RNA, 73 nt
Filed under: Danio rerio (zebrafish)
Lineage: Eukaryota; Metazoa; Chordata; Actinopteri; Cypriniformes; Danionidae
Rfam family: tRNA
About the family: Transfer RNA (tRNA) molecules are approximately 80 nucleotides in length. Their secondary structure includes four short double-helical elements and three loops (D, anti-codon, and T loops).
Source: Rfam by way of RNAcentral
GCCUGGAUGGCUGAGUCAGUAGAACAUCAGACUUUUAAUCUGAGGGUCCAGGGUUCAAGUACCAGUUUGGGCA